RNAcentral lists this ribosomal RNA (274 nucleotides) under uncultured bacterium. RNAcentral's name for it is "partial 16S ribosomal RNA". It matches the Rfam family "Bacterial small subunit ribosomal RNA", at positions 523 to 796 of the family's 1533-position model. The record is from RNAcentral.
AUACAGAGGGUGCGAGCGUUAUUCGGAAUCACUGGGCGUAAAGGACGCGUAGGCGGGUUGGCAAGUCAGAUGUGAAAUCCUACAGCUUAACUGUAGAACUGCAUUUGAAACUGCUAACCUAGAGUAUGGGAGGGGGAGAUGGAAUUAGUGGUGUAGGGGUAAAAUCCGUAGAUAUCACUAGGAAUACCGAAAGCGAAGGCGAUCUCCUGGAACAUAACUGACGCUAAGGCGUGAAAGCGUGGGGAGCAAACAGGAUUAGAUACCCUAGUAGUCC